This 213-nucleotide unclassified non-coding RNA is filed under the name Hevea brasiliensis (rubber tree). Lineage: Eukaryota; Viridiplantae; Streptophyta; Magnoliopsida; Malpighiales; Euphorbiaceae. The record is from RNAcentral.
GAACAUGUGAUACAGAGUCAACAUUGAAAUUACUGUGAAUCAACAUGAAUAAUCAGAAUUUCUAGAGCAUUCAAUUUAGAUACAUGAAAGUUCCCUUCCAGGAGAGGGGUGGGAGCUUGGUUUUGACAAAAUUUUGUGGAGGACUACAAGAAAACUCUACAAUUGGAAAAAAUCAAAGAGACAAGGUGUAUAAAAAGAUAAAUUGGAAAAAUA